RNAcentral lists this ribosomal RNA (439 nucleotides) under uncultured bacterium. Its description in RNAcentral is "bacterial SSU rRNA". It matches the Rfam family "Bacterial small subunit ribosomal RNA", at positions 29 to 507 of the family's 1533-position model. The record is from RNAcentral.
AGCGAACGCUGGCGGCAUGCUUAACACAUGCAAGUCGCACGGGCGGGGGCAACUCCGUCAGUGGCGGACGGGUGAGUAACGCGUAGGAAUCUAUCCUUGAAUGGGGGACAACCGUGGGAAACUACGGCUAAUACCGCAUGAUGCCUGAGGGCCAAAGACGAAAGUCGUUUGAGGAGGAGCCUGCGUCUGAUUAGGUAGUUGGUGGGGUAAAGGCCUACCAAGCCUACGAUCAGUAGCUGGUCUGAGAGGAUGAUCAGCCACAUUGGGACUGAGACACGGCCCAAACUCCUACGGGAGGCAGCAGUGGGGAAUAUUGGACAAUGGGCGAAAGCCUGAUCCAGCAAUGCCGCGUGUGUGAAGAAGGUCUUCGGAUUGUAAAGCACUUUUGGCAGGGACGAUGAUGACGGUACCUGCAGAAUAAGCCCCGGCUAACUUCGUG